This is a long non-coding RNA of Hemicordylus capensis (graceful crag lizard), 2136 nucleotides long. RefSeq lists it as uncharacterized. NCBI's taxonomy places the organism in Eukaryota, Metazoa, Chordata, Lepidosauria, Squamata, Cordylidae. The transcript has 2 exons. The record is from RefSeq and is a predicted model, not a curated record.
GACGAGGAUGGAAACCGAUGUUUAGGCAGCGGCUCCCCUUCGUUGUCCUGCAUGGUUUGCGCGCCCUGAUUCGUUACCGCUCUGCAAACCAGAAAGAACAGCCCUACUGAUUUGUUAUUCCCCUCACUUACCGGUUAAGUUCCAGGAUAAUGGUGAAUGUCAUGAAUUGUAGGACUGGGUGUGAGCUAAUAUACUGAAACUAGAAGAGCGGAUCAGUCUGAGAAGAGGCAAUCAACCUGUUAUGGUGGGCUUGUACUUCGUAAAGGGACAGAUGAACAGUUUGCGAGUACUUCUGAACCUGUCUUUGCUCCUGCAUAAACAAGUGACGGUUGUGAAAAGGAGUGCUUUUGCCCAGCUUCAGUUGGUGUAGCACCUUUGGCCUUCUCAGGAGGAUGGUGUUGCUAAUUACCCAUGCCCUGAUCACAUCCAGAUUGGACUACUGUGAUGUUCUGUAUUUGGGGAUGCCCCUAAGAAGUGUCUGGAAUGGCUACAGAAUGCAGCAAAAUUAUGAACAGGAGCUCAGGUCUUUGACCACAUUAUGCCAGUGCUUUAGCAACUGUACUGAUUUCCAAAUUGCUUCCAGACUCAACUUAAGAUGCUGAUUCUUAACCUUAAGGCCAUAUAUGGUUUAGGAACAGGACAUAUGAAGGACUGUCUCCUCUAUGAAGCUGCCUACAGGCUCUGGUCAGCAGGGGACGAUGCCCUGUUGCACGUACCUUUCCCCAGCAACGUGUGGGAUCUGUGCCUGGGUUUUUUCAUAGACCAGUGCCCAGGUUUUGGAACUUGCUAAUGGAAUUAAUUUGUCCACUCACUGAGGAUUUUCAAAAGACAUGUGAAGUUUUGUUUGAACAUACUUCUUAUGGAAUCAUUCUGAUCUUGCUGCUGCUGCUGCUGGUUAUUUGUAUGCUAUUGCUGUUGUAUUUGUUGUUUUUUAAUAAUUGUUAAAAUUGCUCCCCCCCCCACUUUCCCCCCUGUGAACUGUUCUGGAGGCCUGAUUUCAGGUGAAUAGAUACAUUUAGAUAUACUUAUAGAUACACUUAUCCAUGUUUAGCCCUAGACAAUUUGAAUCUUGCUUGAUGUGGAUUCCCUGCUAGAACCUUGUAUAAAAUGCCACACAUAGGAUGUCCUCUCAAACAAAAGACCCUAGAAACUAGAUAUCCUACAAUCCAUACAUUUCAUUACUCUCUCUUGUCAGUUGUUAGGUCAUCUAAAACCCCUAUAGCUAGCAUGGAAACAAUAAAAGCAAGACUGGUUUGCUAAUGCUUAGAGACUCUGUUCUGCACUACUCAUUUGAUGCAUGCCAUCUAGCAUUCAGAUUUGAACCCUGGCUCUAUGAUCUCUUUAUUUUCUUCCCUAAACUGUUAACUGACUUCCAAGCUCAGUUCUGUCCUGUCUUUAAAAAAAAUAAAAAUUGAUCCCAUGUUUUCUGCAAAUUUCAUCUAGACUAGCCUGCUUUCUACUGAUGCUGCUGCUUCAAGUUCAGAUUUGUUCAUAAAUUAACCCAGCUGUGAACAAGGACCAUUUUCCAUUUCAAAACAUUCCUCACCCUCAUCUCUGAAUUUCUUUUUAACAACCUCUUAAACUUCUGUAACGCAGCCAGACUUGAUUUUCAUUUAAACAGUAACCUUGCUACUAUAAAUACAUGGAGUAUAGAUAAAUACAGGCAGUAUGUACAAACAGCAAAGAAGCUGAAGCAAAUGACAAAUAUAAGACAAACAGAACUCAGAGCAUUCACUACCAUGCUUAAGAUGAUUUGCCAGCAAUUUAAUUAAAAAUAAACUGGAUCCAACGGAUAAAAAAUAUUUUUCACAAAUGCAUGUAGGGGUUGAACAAAAUUAUGAAAACUUUAAUUCUUUUUAAAGAAUAUAUUGUAUCAAAAUCCUAAACUUGGCAGGAGGGCAUUGUGACAAAUAUUUAGCAUGUAAACAUAAAAAGCUGGAAAGCCAAAGCAAUAAAUUCAUCAGUUUUAGGACACAGAAACCAACAUAUUGUAAACCAAGUACUUUUUUAAACAUUCACAGUCUCUUUAUAAUAGCAGUCACAGGAUGCAAUGAACAGUUUUAAAAAGGUGUAUAAUUUUGCAGAAUAAAAUUGAUAAAUUUCUUACAAUAAACAUUGUUACAGUCUUGCACAGUU